AAGGAGGGGGAGAAGCAGACUCCCCGCUGUGCAGUGAGCCCCUCAUGGGCCUCGAUCCCAGAACCCUGAGAUCGUGGCCUGAGCCGAGGGCAGAUGCUCACCCACUGAGCCCCCAGGCCCCCCCCCACUGCAGAUUUCCACGAGGUGCCGUGGGUGCGGAGACCCCGUUGGAGCAGCUCACACGCGGUGCCACGGUGUUCUUGAAUGCUGGUUAAGAAAAGCUCAAGGUUGAGCUGUCAUGUCCUCUGAAUCCGGUGGACUUCUGAAUGAACAACGAACACCAGUUUCAUCUCUGGGGACAGGCAGGAAUUUUAUCUGAUGGGCAUCAUGAAGACAAACUGUAAGACCUCCUCUCUGCAUCUCAGUUACCAGGCCUGAAAGGUGGAAGGAAGCCUUCCCUGGGCAUUCAACCGGACAUUUGCUGUGGUUUGCAAAAUUAAUCUAGUAAUAUUAUAGUUCUCUAUAUAUUAAAUAACCAAGUACUGGGCUGGAUCUGCUUGUGGAGAGAAGCUAGCACAAAAGUAACUGCUCACCUGAGUCAGUUGAUGAAACACCAGUCCCCACCACAGACUCAAGGGUGACUGAAUGACAAUGGCUUCCCGUUCUCUAGAGUUAAUCUGGGCGGGUGCCUUAGUUUCCCGCCCCACCUCGUGUGCACACAUCCUGAGUUUAAAAAAGAUCUCCCUAGGCAGAGACUAACUUUGCUCAAAAUACAUAAAUGCACUCACUGAAAGAAGUUAGAAAAAUCAGACUUAUUUCGACAGACCCUGAAGAGUGUGAGGCAGAUGGACAAGUUAGCAAUAUGCCUAUACUUACGUGUAUCAUUUACAUAAUGGCUAUUGGCUGGGUCACUGAUUAUGAAGUGCUGACCCAAGGAGUUCACUUAUCAGAAUUACUAGGAGGGAGUGUUUACAAAUACAGAUGAUCAACCCUCACUCUUGCCACCCCUUCUCCGCAAGAUCCUGAUUCAGGGAAAUGGGUAUUUAUAUGGGGAGGAGCUAAGGGGUGGGCCCACUUCCUUUUUUUUUUUUUUAAAGCACCCCUGGUGAUUCUGAUGCCUGAACUGGUUUGAGAGCCACUAGCUAGAUUAUCAGAUGCUCUCAAAUACACAGAUGCAAUUUCUGAAAUGUUCAUUCCAUGUAAUUAUUCAGUUUCUGGGCCUAUUUUCUCUCUUGAGUGAACCAAAGAAGAUACAGUUUUUGAUGAAAAAUCAUUCCAUUAACAGCAUUUGAACUUGUUUCUGUACCUUCAGAAGCUGAACAGGGUAAUUCUGGAAGGAAUAUUCUAUAUAACAUCUUGUUUUCUGACUUUUCAGAUCACAACUAUUCAUGUAACCUACACUUUGACUUUGCAUUUCCAAACCUGGAAACCUGAGAUACUGACAUGAAAAUCUGAAAUUAAUCAGCAUGUUUUGCUAUUAGCUUUACUACUAUAAUCAGAAAGCAGCCAGAUGUUCAGCUGACUUCAAUCGAAUAGCUAUUUUUGAUUAUAUCGUAUUCUAAUAUUCUAAAAAGACUCACAAAGCUUGACCUUAUAAUUCAGUCUUUCUCUUACUCAUCAAUGAAUUAAGGGUUUAGUUAUUUAUGAUUUUUAAAAACCUUUGUGAAGCUUGUCAUUAACCUCCUCUGCUGUACCAGCAUGUCAUGGCACAUGUCGCUCAACAUCCACCAGCCAAUAAACCUUUAAGGGUGAUUAUGUGUGUGCUUUUUUUUUUAAUUGUAUAAUUCAUUUAUACAGAGAAAUCAUUUGGAUUAUCUAUUUACAAUCUUUUUCAAUUUUCAUUUCCACUGGCCAGAAACAGUUCACGUAAUAGUCAACAUUUACUUGAGCUGAUUACCAAUAUAGAUCUGCCAUGACACAGGGCUUUGGCCUUCCCUCCUUAGAGACAAUGGCCUCAUUGAACAGAAACAUUUUACAGUGAAAGAUUCAUCAGUUAUUUUUCCCUCUUAUGAAUAAAUCCAGCAAAACUGAUCUAAAUGGUCAAAUUUUCAACACAUUUGUUUCCUUUCAAACCCAUAAACCAAGACAAAGAAAAAUUCACUUCCCCCAAGCCUUCUACGACUUACGACAUACCCUCAAGUUUAGCUUUUACGAUAUCGUUUCAACGUCCUGGCACAACCAGACGUUUUUACCUUAAGACAAAACUACUCUCUUAGGCUCUCUUUUUUAUUUGUUUGUUUUGAACUUAUUACCAGUCAACUGCUUUCCCUCUUGCUUCUCAGACAACACUAAAACUUUCAAGAAAAACCUUACGGCAUUUUUCUUCCCAUAGUCCAGGAUACACGGGGUCAUUUCAUGUGUGUUCUCCAUUCUGACAUGCUAUGCUUUAAAGAUUGCAAUUUUCUUAAUUGGCUCAAAAACAAUAUGGCUUGGUUUCACUUGGUCAAGUUAAUCUGAUUUUUUAAAAAAAGAUAUAUAUAUGUAUAUAUAUGUAUAUAUAUAUAUAUAUACACACACACACACACAUACAUACACAUUUUAAUCAAAAAAGAAAAAUACUUUAGAGACACACCAAUUUGAAAAGGAAAAUGCAUCAAAGUAAAAAAAAAUAAAAGCAAAUACUAAAAACUACAAAUUAAAAAAAAAUUAAAUACUUGGCAGGUUAAAUGGAUGAAAAAUGAGGAAUGUGCAAUGAAAAACAAAUACAAAGCAUUCCAGUUGACAAAAUGGAAAACUUAGUAAGUUUUACGGUUUGUUCUCCAAAGACUUUAAGUUUCACUGUAAGUUCUGAAAUAUCACAAACAUAUAUUGUGUGAAGAUUUCAGGUUGCUGAUGCUACAAACUCAAACUCUGUAUGCAGAGUUUACCAGAGAAACACUGGUGAAAUCCCAGUAUUUGUAAAACUUUAAGUUUUGGCAAAUAUUGUAAAUAUCACAAUUAGAAAGUCUUGAUGAAUGCAGAAGAGAAAAUCCAUUUCAUAAAUAUUUCAUUUGAUUAAUAAAAGGCUUGCAUGUUCUAAAUAAUCUGAGAAAAAUAUCUUUAAAAAAAAAGGCUACAGUUUAACAGUAAUCUGCAUGUAUCUUUAGCUGCCUUAAAAAAAAAAAAAAAAAA
Molecule: long non-coding RNA, 3051 nt
Organism: Canis lupus familiaris (dog)
Lineage: Eukaryota; Metazoa; Chordata; Mammalia; Carnivora; Canidae
Exons: 2
Source: RefSeq, a predicted model, not a curated record